RNAcentral lists this ribosomal RNA (1372 nucleotides) under uncultured bacterium. Its description in RNAcentral is "bacterial SSU rRNA". It matches the Rfam family "Bacterial small subunit ribosomal RNA", at positions 28 to 1381 of the family's 1533-position model. The record is from RNAcentral.
GAUGAACGCUGGCGGCGUGCCUAAUACAUGCAAGUCGAGCGAACGGACGAGAAGCUUGCUUCUCUGAUGUUAGCGGCGGACGGGUGAGUAACACGUGGAUAACCUACCUAUAAGACUGGGAUAACUUCGGGAAACCGGAGCUAAUACCGGAUAAUAUUUUGAACCGCAUGGUUCAAAAGUGAAAGACGGUCUUGCUGUCACUUAUAGAUGGAUCCGCGCUGCAUUAGCUAGUUGGUAAGGUAACGGCUUACCAAGGCAACGAUGCAUAGCCGACCUGAGAGGGUGAUCGGCCACACUGGAACUGAGACACGGUCCAGACUCCUACGGGAGGCAGCAGUAGGGAAUCUUCCGCAAUGGGCGAAAGCCUGACGGAGCAACGCCGCGUGAGUGAUGAAGGUCUUCGGAUCGUAAAACUCUGUUAUUAGGGAAGAACAUAUGUGUAAGUAACUGUGCACAUCUUGACGGUACCUAAUCAGAAAGCCACGGCUAACUACGUGCCAGCAGCCGCGGUAAUACGUAGGUGGCAAGCGUUAUCCGGAAUUAUUGGGCGUAAAGCGCGCGUAGGCGGUUUUUUAAGUCUGAUGUGAAAGCCCACGGCUCAACCGUGGAGGGUCAUUGGAAACUGGAAAACUUGAGUGCAGAAGAGGAAAGUGGAAUUCCAUGUGUAGCGGUGAAAUGCGCAGAGAUAUGGAGGAACACCAGUGGCGAAGGCGACUUUCUGGUCUGUAACUGACGCUGAUGCGCGAAAGCGUGGGGAUCAAACAGGAUUAGAUACCCUGGUAGUCCACGCCGUAAACGAUGAGUGCUAAGUGUUAGGGGGUUUCCGCCCCUUAGUGCUGCAGCUAACGCAUUAAGCACUCCGCCUGGGGAGUACGACCGCAAGGUUGAAACUCAAAGGAAUUGACGGGGACCCGCACAAGCGGUGGAGCAUGUGGUUUAAUUCGAAGCAACGCGAAGAACCUUACCAAAUCUUGACAUCCUUUGACAACUCUAGAGAUAGAGCCUUCCCCUUCGGGGGACAAAGUGACAGGUGGUGCAUGGUUGUCGUCAGCUCGUGUCGUGAGAUGUUGGGUUAAGUCCCGCAACGAGCGCAACCCUUAAGCUUAGUUGCCAUCAUUAAGUUGGGCACUCUAAGUUGACUGCCGGUGACAAACCGGAGGAAGGUGGGGAUGACGUCAAAUCAUCAUGCCCCUUAUGAUUUGGGCUACACACGUGCUACAAUGGACAAUACAAAGGGCAGCGAAACCGCGAGGCCAAGCAAAUCCCAUAAAGUUGUUCUCAGUUCGGAUUGUAGUCUGCAACUCGACUACAUGAAGCUGGAAUCGCUAGUAAUCGUAGAUCAGCAUGCUACGGUGAAUACGUUCCCGGGUCU